CCCCUUCUUGUGUGCUUCGACAAUCACUAUUCUUGGGACUCAACAUACAACAGGACACUAUCUUGUGGUCUCCAGAGACGAGUACAACCUGCGCUAUGGGAAACCGGUACACAUCUUUGUGGAAACUGGCCCUGAGACGUUUCUGAAGAUCAGGAGUAGAGAUCACAAAACGAAAAACUUUGUGUCAGUAACAUGUCUUGAGGAGCUAAUCAGAGUUGCUGUGGGUCAUGGAAUUUGUCAGGAGGGCAACAUACAGGUGUAUUUAAUGGAUGAGUUAUCACUUCGCUCUAUGGUUGCUGGUGCUGAGAAAUGCCUCGAUGACAUUUUCAUUGUUAAAAAUGGACU
Molecule: long non-coding RNA, 345 nt
Organism: Ornithodoros turicata
Lineage: Eukaryota; Metazoa; Arthropoda; Arachnida; Ixodida; Argasidae
Exons: 3
Source: RefSeq, a predicted model, not a curated record